UUUUCAAUGGGUUAACGAUAUAAAGAUUUCUUUUAACUAAUGUUUCCUUCAUAGAGAGUCUAUGUGAAUUAUUAUGCGAAUAAAAUGCAGCCGCAGUUACAAGGAAUAAUCAAUACCAGAAUCUGUUAAAAGGUUUUCAAUUAUUUUACUGGAAGAAAAAGUAUAUAACUUUCAACAACGAUGAGAAGAAGCUGACAACACUGCAUUCAUGAUAGAUUUUGGAAGAUACCGCCUUCUUUUUACGUAUACUGAGAGAAAAUCAUAUCUAUUAAUAUUCUAUCAAAGGAAGUGAAGAAAGAAUGCAUCUUAGUUAUUAUAAAUUUGAAAAACUAAUAGCAAUUACUGUGGAAGUCCAAGAACAAAAGUAAGAAAAUAAAAGAGAACAUGCUUGUAGCGUACGUGAUCUUAAGCGCGUCGAUCAUGAAAUUCGUUGCUACCUGCGAUGGUGCGAAGUGGGGAUUUCAAACGAAAAAGUAGUUUAAGAAAUUAAAAUCAAUUGACACCAGGCCUUUAUUUCCCACAUAAAUU
This 528-nucleotide long non-coding RNA is filed under the name Polistes fuscatus (common paper wasp). RNAcentral describes it as "uncharacterized LOC122513778, transcript variant X1". The record is from RNAcentral. Lineage: Eukaryota; Metazoa; Arthropoda; Insecta; Hymenoptera; Vespidae.